GGAAAGAUGGUCGAGUUGGUUUAAGGCACUCGCUUGGAAAGCGAGCGAAGGGUAACACCUUCCGCAGGUUCAAAUCCUGUUCUUUCCGCCA
Molecule: transfer RNA, 91 nt
Filed under: Clostridiales bacterium
Lineage: Bacteria; Bacillati; Bacillota; Clostridia; Eubacteriales
Description: tRNA-Ser
Rfam family: tRNA
About the family: Transfer RNA (tRNA) molecules are approximately 80 nucleotides in length. Their secondary structure includes four short double-helical elements and three loops (D, anti-codon, and T loops).
Source: RNAcentral